AUUGAACGCUGGCGGCAGGCUUAACACAUGCAAGUCGAGCGAGCGGCGGACGGGUGAGUAAUUUCUGGGAAACUGCCUGAUGGAGGGGGAUAACUACUGGAAACGGUAGCUAAUACCGCAUACCAUCAGAUGUGCCCAGAUGGGAUUAGCUAGUAGGUGGGGUAAUGGCUCACCAAGGCGACGAUCCCUAGCUGGUCUGAGAGGAUGACCGGCCACACUGGAACUGAGACACGGCCCAGACUCCUACGGGAGGCAGCAGUGGGGAAUAUUGGACAAUGGGCGAAAGCCUGAUGCAGCAAUGCCGCGUGAGUGAAGAAGGCUUUCGGGUUGUAAAGCACUUUCAGCGAGGAGGCGUUACCCGCAGAGAAAGCAACGGCUAACUACGUGCCAGCAGCCGCGGUAAUUC
This 406-nucleotide ribosomal RNA is filed under the name uncultured bacterium. RNAcentral describes it as "partial 16S ribosomal RNA". It matches the Rfam family "Bacterial small subunit ribosomal RNA", at positions 30 to 526 of the family's 1533-position model. The record is from RNAcentral.